CAAAAGUUUCUACUCAGCUCUGGUCUUAUCAGACAUGUUUCAAAGUAUUCUAUUUAAAAUCCACUUUUCCCCUAUAGGAUUAAAUCAGACUUCUCAAGAUGGCAUCAUCACUCAAGAGUAUUUCCAAAUUGUAGGUUGGAAUGGGUAAAAUGGAUUCCUCCCCAUCUCAUACUCUAAGGAACACAGCUAGAAAGAUCAGUGCAUUCCAAAGGAGCAUCCUCGCUGAACUGGAAGUCCUCCUGGGGAGAUUGUAAGAGAGCAUCUGGAUAUGAUGAGUUCAAGUCACCAAAUCCAGAUAAAGGGCAUCCACUAAAAGGACUGGUGGAUAUAAGCACUGAGGCACUAUCAGUGCUGUCUGAAAGACUCUGCCAUUAUCAAAGCCUGUUUCAUUCUAAAUAAAAU
Molecule: long non-coding RNA, 402 nt
Filed under: Sarcophilus harrisii (Tasmanian devil)
Lineage: Eukaryota; Metazoa; Chordata; Mammalia; Dasyuromorphia; Dasyuridae
Description: lncRNA (ENSSHAG00000020822.1)
Source: RNAcentral